This 1162-nucleotide ribosomal RNA is filed under the name uncultured bacterium. RNAcentral's name for it is "bacterial SSU rRNA". It matches the Rfam family "Bacterial small subunit ribosomal RNA", at positions 8 to 1166 of the family's 1533-position model. The record is from RNAcentral.
AGGGUUUGAUCCUGGCUCAGGACGAACGCUGGCGGCGUGCUUAACACAUGCAAGUCAAGGAGAACGUUUUCUUCGGAAAAUUAUUAAACUGGCGAACGGGUUAGUAACGCGUAGGCAACCUACACUAUAGAUUGGGACAACCCCGUGAAAACAGGGCUAAUACCAAAUAAUAUAUAUUUUCUUUGGAUUUUAUAUCUAAGCAGGCUUCGGCUUGCACUAUUGAAUGGGCCUGCGUCUGAUUAGUUUGUUGGUAAGGUAACGGCUUACCAAGACUACGAUCAGUAGGUGGUUCGAGAGGAUGAUCACCAACACUGGGACUGAGAUACGGCCCAGACUCCUACGGGAGGCAGCAGUGGGGAAUUUUGCGCAAUGGGCGAAAGCUUGACGCAGCAACGCCGCGUGAUUGAAGAAGGUUUGCGGACUGUAAAAAUCUGUUAUAAGGGAAGAAUAGUCUCUGCUCUAACAAAGCAUUGAUUUGACGGUACCUUAUGAGAAAGCCCCGGCUAACUUCGUGCCAGCAGCCGCGGUAAUACGAGGGGGGCAAGCGUUGUCCGGAUUCAUUGGGCGUAAAGAGCUCGUAGGCGGAUUAAUCAGUCUGAAUUGAAAUCCAAUGGCUUAACCAUUGUCACGGUUCAGAUACUAUUAAUCUUGAGUUAUGUAGAGGUAAGUGGAAUUUCUGGUGUAGCGGUGAAAUGCGUAGAUAUCAGAAGGAACACCAAAGGCGAAGGCAACUUACUGGACAUCAACUGACGCUGAGGAGCGAAAGCGUGGGUAGCAAACAGGAUUAGAGACCCUGGUAGUCCACGCCGUAAACGAUGUGUACUUGGUGGUGGAGGAUUCGACCCUUUCACUGUCGGAGUUAACGCGUUAAGUACACCGCCUGGGGACUACGACCGCAAGGGUGAAACUCAAAAGAAUUGACGGGGACCCGCACAAGCGGUGGAUUAUGUGUUUAUUCGAUGCACGCGAAGAACCUUACCUGGUCUGAAUGUAGUGAGGAUCUGUGAAGCAGGUCCCUUCUUUAUGCUGGCAUAAAGACCUAUCACAGUGAUGCAUGCCUGUCGUCAGCUCGUUCCUGAAUGUCGUUAGUCGGAUACGAGGCAUCAUGGUCUUAAUUGCAGACGUAUGUGAGACUCUAAGAACUGACCUGGUUUUAACUCGG